This 301-nucleotide ribosomal RNA is filed under the name uncultured bacterium. RNAcentral describes it as "partial 16S ribosomal RNA". It matches the Rfam family "Bacterial small subunit ribosomal RNA", at positions 509 to 807 of the family's 1533-position model. The record is from RNAcentral.
CAGUCGCCGCGGUAAUACGUAGGGGGCAAGCGUUAUCCGGAAUUACUGGGUGUAAAGGGAGCAUAGACGGUUAAACAAGUCUGAAGUGAAAUGCCGGGGCUCAACCCCGGAGCUGCUUUGGGAACUGUAGAACUGGAGUGUCGGAGGGGUAAGCGGAAUUCCCAGUGUAGCGGUGAAAUGCGUAGACAUUGGGAGGAACACCGGCGGCGAAGGCGGCUUACUGGACGACAACUGACGUUGAGGCUCGAAGGCGUGGGUGGCAAACUGGAUUAGAUACCCGUGUAGUCCCUGUCUCUUAUAC